UUUCAAUUCAAUGUUGUAAGCAAUUUGGACACGACAACAGCAGUACGACAUUUUUCAUUGGUGUUAUUUCACAUCGUGUUUUCCCAGCUUUGCAGUUAUGAGUAAUUGGACGUUUUAUUUUAACAUUUGAUCGUAGGAAUCAAACCUGUGAUCAGUUUUGAUUUUAACCAAUUCAAUUGAAUUUGUGCCUACCUGCAUGGCAUUCAAAAGGAUUAGUUUUUUAAGCCCUCAAAUAAUAAUCGGCCCCAAGUUACUACACAGAGGCACUGGUGUACUAAACUACGACAUACGCUACACCAAGUUAUUCCAGCGAAGCCCCGAAGUACUAUAUGCUGCUCCCAGCUACACCCCUUACUGUUGUCUACUACACCGCAACAGAAGCAAACAAGUAUUACGUAGCUCCGUCUUAUUACACCACAGCUGCUCCAUCUUACUACACCGAGCCCAACUACUACACAACAACCUCGUCACCCCUGCAUUCUACACUGAGGCCCCAAAAUAUUACUCGCCUCCAAGUUACUACACUGAAGCCUACACCUCAUACGCCAAGCCAGACAACUACACCAAUGCUCCACAAAACUAUGCUACUGCCUCUUAUUAUACAACUAAGGCCCGGAGUACUACGCUAUAGAGAAGGCCGAGUACUACACCACUACCUAUGCUGCUCCAGCGCACUACACUGAAGUUCCAAAUUAUACAAUAGACGUUUUUUAGUAGACUAUCACGGCGUGCUGAUGUCAUGCUGUUUGCAACAAACCUCAAAGAAAAGGAUUGCAGCCGAGGUAUCAUCAUAAUAAUUUCGCUGAUGGUUUGGACUUUGGAGUUCAGUUCUUAUCACUGAUAUUAACCAAACUUAAAUCGACUAGAAAACGUAGACGCUUAUCUCUCAUUCUUUUAGUUUCUUUGACUAAGACAGAAAUUUCAGUAACGAGGAAAGAAGAGAAGUUCGUGUAUUAUGUUUCAUGACUUGUACAGUCAAUUCUUUUGCGUUUUUUAGGCAUUUUGCAUCAAAAUAGAAGGCAAUGAAAAUCGGAAAACCGGAGGCAAUGAGCCAGCUGCCAGAGGUAAAGGCUUAUCUUGGGUUUUCUGUAAUUUCAUUUAGAGUUUUCCAUGGUCAACAUUGUUUUCUUUAAAUUUCCUCUCCCUCAAGUUUUCAUGACCUUGCCCUUUUUUUUCAUUAAUUUCUUAAACUUGUUCGAUUUUAUCAGAUGUACAAAGGUAAUAGAAAUUUACCACCUGUGCCGUAUGUCUUUAGAUUCCACUGGAUAUCAUUUUAUUUGAUACCAAAUAGCCCGGACAUUUGAAAAUUGAAUAAAAUUUGUAAUUUGGGGUGUUAUAUCAUGAAGGCGGGGACCAUGAUUUAAAGCUUAUAUCAUUCAUCUGGAUUUGAUCAUGUUCACAGCAAAUGUAUCGGACUGAAUGUAUUAGAAGCUGAUAAAAACCCGCUUGGUCUAUGUCAAGUAAUUUCUCUAAAUACGAACGACCCAUUUUGCAGGAGCGUGAACAAUUGGCACUCAAAUACACCACAAGUGAUUGUCUUGUAAAUAAUGAUGUCACUCUUUAACAAACCCGUCAACAAUACCACCGAAGGUCUACCGAGAAACGAAAGGAACCUAAGUAUUACUCAGCUGUCAGCUACCAAACUGAAGCCCCAAAGUACUAUUGAUAGCCCUGUGAUUUUAAUUAGCUCGUUAACAAAAAUAAUGCUUCACUGUUUAAUGUAAAGUUCUACCGAAGGCGUUAUUGAUCAUCAUAAUAAUUUUGCUUCAGCUUUAUUUAUGUUCUUGACUAGAAUCACUUCCGAUUUGGAAUGUGGUAUACUAGCUCAUUUGUCUAUAACAAAUGUUGCCGUUAAUCAACUUCUAAUUACGUUGUUUGUACUCAACACAUCAAUCAAUCGUUUCACAUUCGCUAAUCAAUAAGAGUUUAGUUUUGCUAGUCUGAUAUUUUGAGCGAGUUAUUUCAAAAGAUUAAACGAAAUACCUCAGCGGAGGAAAUGCAGCUUCUGAACAUUUUCAUUUCACGCGUUUGUGAAAUGUUAAUUGAUUAAGAAAAUUGAUUGCAUAAUAAUCAACGACGCAUCACAUUUCACACCUACGCCCGCUUGAAAUCAUCACGUUUUCUGCACCCACUUGUUACAUCAAAGGUACAGCUCACUCCAUAACGCGGUAGGCAAAGUUUUAAAGGACAACACGAGGUGCUCUCAAUCUACUAAAUCAAGCCCAACUUACAGCACUGAAACUACAUCUUAAUGUGCCUGUAGUCAACACAUUGGAGUUUAUUCGCACAUUUUUCGUUUCAAACGAUCGAUAUAGUCUUUGCACUUUACUAACUCGUACCCUAGCUUUUCCCUGCAUAGUUACUCUGUCAUGUUUAAUAGUUAAUUUCACGUGAAAGUGUAAUAAAACCGGCUUUAAAAACGCAA
Daphnia magna is the source of this 2425-nucleotide long non-coding RNA. RefSeq lists it as uncharacterized. NCBI's taxonomy places the organism in Eukaryota, Metazoa, Arthropoda, Branchiopoda, Diplostraca, Daphniidae. The transcript is spliced from 3 exons. The record is from RefSeq and is a predicted model, not a curated record.